Long non-coding RNA from Hyla sarda, 513 nucleotides. RefSeq lists it as uncharacterized. The record is from RefSeq and is a predicted model, not a curated record. The transcript is spliced from 3 exons. NCBI's taxonomy places the organism in Eukaryota, Metazoa, Chordata, Amphibia, Anura, Hylidae.
CGUGAGUGAGCGGUAUGGUCCGGUCUGCAGCCAUCCACCAAGUAAACCGCAACCAGGGAUGGACUUCCAGAGAAUAGCAGGUCUCCACGGCGCUGACCAAGGACGAACACGUCAGCACACAGGUUACCUGUAGCGUCAUAACACCUACCUCCUUUAAAGCACACCUCUUCCUGUGAUCCCAAUAUUCCCAGUCUGACGAAGCGCAGAAGCUCGCAACGGUCCAUCACCGAGUCGAUACCCCAGCUCCUAUGCAGCUCCCCCACCUGUGUACCCCUAUGUUGUAAGUUUUGCAAUAAACUACCACUGCAGAAGAAGCUUGGGUUUCUGUGUUCAACAGCGGCAGCAAAUCCAUCUUCUUUCCCCCUACUAUACCUGGCUCGAGUGUAGACCUAUGGAAAGGAGUGUUGUCUGACAUGCAGGCUGUCAUUUACCCACAAGACCCCCCCUUAUUUGUCCGCCACAGAGCAAAUGGCUCUAAGAAAUACCUUAAAAAUAAUACUAAUAUCAUAAUUA